CCAAUACUCCAUCAUUUCAAAGCGCGAACAAAACUUCUUCUCUUUCUCUCUCAACAAAUGAUCCCAGCAACUUUCUUCAUCCAACCAAAACCCUAGAUCCCUGCGACUUUCUUCAUUCCAACGACUUCCAUGGGUAAGCUCUUCGCUAUCCAAUCCAAACCCUAGAUCUUUUGGUCAACACAAAUUGGAAUCAGAUUGAUACAUUCAAGUUCAAAGAGAAUGCAAAGCAAGGCUCCACGUAUGUGUCUCCGGCAAGGUUUUCCAAUCCCGAAUUCUGACUCUGUUGGUCUCAAUGUUUGCCACCUUCGCCUCAAUCUACGUCGUCGGACGGUUGUGGCAAGAUUCGGAGAACAAGGUUUAAUUGAUUAAAGAGCUUGAUAGGAUUACUGGGUAGGGAACAACAUAAGAAGUUAUCAGUAGUUAAGAUGGAGUUCGCUGCAGCCAAUCAAGAGGGUUAGAGCGUUCAACGCUGAAAAUGGAACCAGGCCUCUGGUGGUGAUUGGAAUUUUUACAAAAAUUGGUUGUAAGAACAAUAGAGAUGCAAUUCGUAAGGCAUGGAUGGGAAAUGGUAUUGGUACCCUUUUGGCAAACUGUGAUGAUCUCAAAAUAUUUCAAGACCCUGGUAUUGCUUAAGUUGUCAUGUAACUAGAUCAAGGUAUUAAAUUAGUUCUUUCUUCCAUGUGCCAUGAAAAAAUUCAUAUUUCUGUUUUAAAGUUUUGAAUUAAUAUGCUUUAUGAUUGACCAAGGAGGCCAUGAUCUACUGCAAAGUUUUCUCUCAACCCUCCCUCAUCUAGCACAUAUGUAAAGUAUGAUAUAUCAAUCUGCUGAAAAGAUUUCAUUCACAUGCAAGAGAAUCGUCGCCCUGCGCACAUAUAAAGAACCUUGAGAAAAAGUUACUGGAGAUGAUAGGCAUGUGCAUACGUGUGAAGCUUGUAAUUAAGAGAGGACUGAUCUAACUAACUGAUUUAAAGUCUAGGCCCUUCGUUGAAUGACUCUAAGCACCCAAGGGAAUUAUGGAAUGAGUACUGGAUUACCAGCACAAUUGACACUGUAAGUUGGAAUGUAAGUUGUUAUGGUCUACUACUAAUAACAUCUUUGAUUUUGGUUCCGUUUUCUUUGUUGUAAUUAAAAAAUGGAAAGUGCAAAAAAUGACAGGGGAUAGUGAGAGAUGAGACUUUGGCCAUUAGUUACAUAAUUGUCACACAUACACAGAUACAUAGGCUGAAUGCAUAGAGACAGUGAACUAAGAAUCAAUACCGAAAUUUCAAAGAUUGCUUUCAGUUCCUAUUUCUUAAUAGCUCAUGUUUAUUGAAUGUUGUGAGUUCUGACUAAGGGUUUCUAUUGUGUAUCUUAGACUUUAGCUUGUUAUCUGUCUAUUUACUGAACCAGAAUUACUUCAAAGUUAGAGAAAAGGGUUAUUUAUGGGAUGUAUGGUUGAAACUAAAGGCCAAGCUCAAGAGUUGGAAUGGUUGAGGAGUUGAAAAGUGAAUGGUUCUUUCAAUGAAAUCAAAUUUGUUGUUCACAUAUAUUUUCUCCUUGUUUAGAUACCACUUUCCCUAUUUGACAUAGAAACUCUGAAUCUUUAACGAAGCAUGUUUAAUUUUGGCUUGUCAAUUCAAUUAUAGUCAGGUUUUGCAUACAUAAUUAUGGGUUGUGUUUUCAUUCCGCAAUAUAGUGGACAAUAACUUGAGUAUUGUUUAAUUAUGCAUUAUAUACAAACCUGUUCAAGUAUCUAUUAUCCAGAAAUUAUUCUUUCAAAGUUUUCUUAUUAGUUGCAAUUGCCUGCAUAACCCAGUUAGCAGUUUCAAUGGCUGUGAGAAGUAUAACAGACCAUUGUGGACAAUCAUUGCAUUAGAAUAGGCAUUAUGUGGUAAAGUCACAUUGUCAUUAUAGUUUCUUAAUUAAAGUUAUUGCUCCUCAUUUGAUUUCUCUUUAGUAGUUAACUAAUGGUACUAGUUUGUACAGUGUUCAAGAAAUUAGCAUGUUAUCAACCAGUGUGCUGAGUUUCAUGUCGACAAUCAAAAGAAAGCCAAAAAUCAUUGUUUGUGUGUUAAUUCUAGCAGAAUUUGUAUCAUUAUUAUAAAGGGAAAAAACAUUG
Long non-coding RNA from Rosa chinensis, 2098 nucleotides. RefSeq lists it as uncharacterized. The transcript is spliced from 5 exons. The record is from RefSeq and is a predicted model, not a curated record. Lineage: Eukaryota; Viridiplantae; Streptophyta; Magnoliopsida; Rosales; Rosaceae.